Molecule: non-coding RNA, 232 nt
Filed under: human gut metagenome
Source: RNAcentral
AAAUCCUGUCGGGUAAGGUUUAGCCAACCGCCCGUACCAAGUCCUUGGAAUCAAAGCGGUAACGUCAGAUUUAAGCGUAGGAUAGGGAGUAGCAGAGCCGAAACGAAAGUGAAGUGAUUGAGCUGGGAAAUAAUUAUGAGGUUGGAAAUGGUCGAUGUGCUCUAUGCCACAGCAGACAAUAUCUCUGUAACCGCUAUGGCAAGGGUACAGAGACAUCCCCCAGUCUGAGAAC